GUGGGGAAUCUUCCGCAAUGGACGAAAGUCUGACGGAGCAACGCCGCGUGAGUGAUGACGGCCUUCGGGUUGUAAAGCUCUGUGAUCGGGGACGAAUGGCUGGUGUGCUAAUACCACAUCAGAGUGACGGUACCCGAAUAGCAAGCCACGGCUAACUACGUGCCAGCAGCCGCGGUAAUACGUAGGUGGCAAGCGUUGUCCGGAAUUAUUGGGCGUAAAGCGCGCGCAGGCGGCUUCUUAAGUCCAUCUUAAAAGUGCGGGGCUUAACCCCGUGAUGGGAUGGAAACUGGGAGGCUGGAGUAUCGGAGAGGAAAGUGGAAUUCCUAGUGUAGCGGUGAAAUGCGUAGAGAUUAGGAAGAACACCGGUGGCGAAGGCGACUUUCUGGACGACAACUGACGCUGAGGCGCGAAAGUGUGGGGAGCAAACAGGAUUAGAUACCCUAGUAGUCC
Molecule: ribosomal RNA, 450 nt
Filed under: uncultured bacterium
Lineage: Bacteria
Description: partial 16S ribosomal RNA
Rfam family: Bacterial small subunit ribosomal RNA
Source: RNAcentral